This is a long non-coding RNA of Alnus glutinosa, 2530 nucleotides long. RefSeq lists it as uncharacterized. Lineage: Eukaryota; Viridiplantae; Streptophyta; Magnoliopsida; Fagales; Betulaceae. The record is from RefSeq and is a predicted model, not a curated record. The transcript has 4 exons.
GGUUUCGAGUUCUGACUAUCUUAGUUGGUUAAGAUUAUGAAAUUUUGGAUAUAACUUCUAUGGUCUUGGGGUUGAACAGUUAUGGAUAUUUUGUUAGCCCAGUUGUGAUCCAGCCCGCGACCCAUCUCAGACCCGAAGCCCGAUCCGGCAGUAGUCCAAACCCGUGACCCGAACCCGGAAACCCGACCUGCCGGUGACCCAACUCCGGCAGACUUCCGGCGACUUUCUGGUAGACUUUUCCGGCGACUUUCCGGUGACUUUUCCGGCGACUUUCCGAUGACUUUUCCGAUGAUUUUCCGGCGCUUUUCCCGUGACCGAACUCAUCGUUUUCACUGGAUUUUCUAGUGAAAAUUCUUAUUUAAUAAACCAAGAAACUAUACAAAGAGAGUAAAGCUCGAUCCCGAUGCUAAUGGGAAAUCCAAGUUAUGAACAGAGAGACGUAGGUGGCCGGGAUGGGAUCUAGGAAUGCAUUAGGACAUUUCAUUUAUGUUACCCUAAAAUUUUCAGUUAUUGUAUCUUUUAUAAUUAAAUUUUCUAAAUGACCGUUUCCGCAUUUAUUUAAAAACUCUGAGUUAUAAAAUCACUAUUAUUUUUAUUUAUUUAAAUCAGCAUACUAGUUAAGAUAUUUGGCAGACCUUACGAAUCUUUGCAGUUUUUAAAGAGAAAGUGACGAACCUAACCCUUAGCGGUUUGGGGGCGUUACAGUUUUGGUAUCAGAGCAAAGGUAAACCUGAGGAAGAAGAUAAGAAAGAUCCCAGAGGACCCCGAUGUUUUGAAUGCUCAGGCUUUGGACAUAUCCAGGCUGAUUGCGGGAAUCUUAAAAAGGGUAAGGGGAAAGCAUACAAUGUGACUCGCAGUGAUGAGUCAGAAGAAGAAGCUCCAGAGUCUAUAAAAUUUCUGGCCUUUGUAGCCCCAUAUUUUGAAGAAGAAGACUCGUAUUACUCGGAGCAUAGCAAUAAUGAGGAAGAGAUCAAGGAGGCCUACAAGACACUCUACAUAGAGUAUGAGAAGCUGAGGGAAGGUCGAAAGCAGCACCUUAAUGAUCUGAAUAGUUUGUAGACCGAGAAGAGUUCAUUGCUGCUCAAAGUACAAGAGCUCGAGGAAAAGCUACUAGAGACGCAGCUCUAGCUAAAGAGAGUCACUAAUGAGAAGCUGACUCAUAUGCUGUCUAUCCAGAAGAGCCCAAAUGACAAGACUGGCCUCGGGUAUGUAGCUCCCUCUUCUGAUGUUCCUUCUUCCUCAAAGAUUGUGUUUGUGAAACCUACAGUCCCAGAGCCUCCUCCCACUGUUGAAGAUAAAAAGAAGGAAAAGGUCAAUGAUGAUGUUCCAGGCAUUCAGGAGCCUCAUUCCAUCAGAAGACCUCCCAUUUGCCAUCAUUGCGGUCUCAGUGGGUAUGUUCGCCCUCAGUGCUCCCUCCUGAAAGCACAAAAGGCCAAAGCCAAGAAAGAAGUGCCCAGACAAGCUCAUUAUGGCACUAGACCUAUAGUCCAGCAUCAGACUCCAUGGCAUCAGGCAUCUUACCAAGCCCCAUGGGGACAAGCACCAUGGGGACAAGCACCAAGGCAUCAGUAUUAAGCUCCUUGGUCUCAUGCUCCUCAGCAUCAGCGGCCUCAACAACGGUUUGUACCAGCCAAUCACAGUGGCACCUACAAGAGCAAACCCAAGCAGUUUAGAAGGCCUCAGAAGAUGAAAGAAGAGCAACACUCCAGUGAGCCUCCUAUCUGGAUGCAGGACAUGAUGGAGUGGAUGAUGUAGUCCUGCCAGCAACCACCCACUAGAAGGCAGGCUUGGGUCGAGAAGGAUAGUCACCCCAUGAGGGGGAACCGACGCACCUAGCAGAUUCAGGUGUUUAUGCCUAGGAUUUGGUUCCUAAUCCCAUGGCAUCAGUGUGGAGCGUCCGGACGGGUAGAGUUCAGCAAUUCGGACGGUUCCCUUUUUGGAGUCUGAACGGACGGCGUUUUGCAGUCCGGACGAGAUCUGUUACAUGUCCAGACGUGAGCUGUCAUCUUCGGGCGGACGGGUAAUUUAAUUCGUCCGGACGUGCGUAACCGUUUUGCUCCUUUUCGAGGCAGCGCGCGUCCGGACGUCAUCAAAACACUGUCCGGACGGGUACCCCACAGUGGCUAUAAAUAGCCCAGAUCGCCGGUCUCUCCACUAUACCCCAUAAAUCUUACCUUUGGCUGAUUGUGAGAAAGCUUUUAGUGAAGUUUUUGCUUGUCUUUUUGCAUAUUCCUCUCACAUUCCAGCUCCCAGCGCAGGGUCCGCCAGAGGACAGAGGAAGAGCAGAGUGCAUUCCAAGCCAAAAUCAUGGACCGCAAUGUCCUCGCUGAGCGGAACGUGGUUCGUGCUGACAUCAUGGUGCCUCCAUUGGAUAGCAUUUAUGAGACUAUCCAGACCUACAAUUGGGGGUAUCUCUACAUGUGUGCCGGCAUCGUCCUCACUAGGCUAGUCAGGCUCUUCUGUAGCGCCCCAGAUUUUAGGAUAUAUAUUAUAAUGGUUUAAAUUAAUUUUUAAAACAUUUUUAAUAAGG